AUUUUGUAUAGGAGGGAAUUUGUCUUAUGGCAUCGAGAAAAGGUAUAUUUAUCCGAACAGUUUUAAAGACUUCCAUGAUUUCAUCAAAGUUAGAUUGUUUCUUGGAGUCCUGAAGUCUACUGGGAAAGGGAACCUUAGGUUUGUAUGUUUCUAUGGGUUCUUUCUUUUUGUCUGAUUUAUCCUGUUCUUGACCCUUCUUCUGAAUAGGGUUCUUAUCGGAUUCAGUUUUAUUUUCUUUUUCAUGUUCAGAAACUUGGACUUUAUUGUCCACUUGCUUACCAAACCUUAAAGUGGUAAUUGCCUGGACUUCAUAGGUCGGAUUUUCAUUAGAAUUGAUUUGAUACUGACCUAUCUGACCUUGAUUUUGCUGUCUACUAGGGUUAGGCACUGGUUGACUAGGUAAUUCUCCUUUCUUCCUAUCCCCUAGAGAGUUUGCUAUUUGGCUUAGACUAACCUCAAGUUUUGCAAUUGCUUGAGAAUGGAAUUGGUUAGUCUGGGCUUGGGCUGUAUUGGUCUGUUGUUGUUGCUCGAUAAAAUCUUAUUGUUGUUUCAUCAUAUUGGCCAUCAUGGUUUCUAAUGGUGAAGGUUGCUGUGGGAUAGGGGCAUUAUAAGGAGGUACAGAUGGAACCAAAGAUUGGUUCAUUUGUGAUGGUCCUAUCCUGGG
Molecule: long non-coding RNA, 664 nt
Filed under: Phoenix dactylifera (date palm)
Lineage: Eukaryota; Viridiplantae; Streptophyta; Magnoliopsida; Arecales; Arecaceae
Description: long non-coding RNA (PDAC_LNC013301)
Source: RNAcentral